UACAGAGGUCCCAAGCGUUGUUCGGAUUCACUGGGCGUAAAGGGUGCGUAGGUGGUUGUGCAAGUCUGAUGUGAAAUCUCCGGGCUUAACCCGGAAAUGGCAUUGGAAACUGCAUGGCUAGAGGGUUGGAGGGGGGACUGGAAUACUUGGUGUAGCAGUGAAAUGCGUAGAUAUCAAGUGGAACACCAGUGGCGAAGGCGGCUCUCUGGGACGGUACUGACGCUGAGACGCGAAAGCGUGGGGAGCGAACAGA
This 253-nucleotide ribosomal RNA is filed under the name uncultured bacterium. RNAcentral describes it as "partial 16S ribosomal RNA". It matches the Rfam family "Bacterial small subunit ribosomal RNA", at positions 524 to 776 of the family's 1533-position model. The record is from RNAcentral.